AUACUCUGGUUUCUUUUCAGAUCGCAUAAAUCUUUCGCCUUUUACUAAAGAUUUUCGAGGAGAGGAACAAUUAUGAGUCUUGAGUCAGUUUUUUGAGGCUUCAUUCCACGAGGCU
RNAcentral lists this small nuclear RNA (115 nucleotides) under Erinaceus europaeus (western European hedgehog). RNAcentral describes it as "U5 spliceosomal RNA". It matches the Rfam family "U5 spliceosomal RNA". From Rfam's summary of the family: U5 RNA is a component of both types of known spliceosome. The precise function of this molecule is unknown, though it is known that the 5' loop is required for splice site selection and p220 binding, and that both the 3' stem-loop and the Sm site are important for Sm protein binding and cap methylation. The record is from Rfam by way of RNAcentral. Lineage: Eukaryota; Metazoa; Chordata; Mammalia; Eulipotyphla; Erinaceidae.